Molecule: ribosomal RNA, 490 nt
Filed under: uncultured bacterium
Lineage: Bacteria
Description: partial 16S ribosomal RNA
Rfam family: Bacterial small subunit ribosomal RNA
Source: RNAcentral
AUUGAACGCUGGCGGCAGGCCUAACACAUGCAAGUCGAACGGUAACAGGAAGCAGCUUGCUGCUUUGCUCACGAGUGGCGGACGGGUGAGUAAUGUCUGGGAAACUGCCUGAUGGAGGGGGAUAACUACUGGAAACGGUAGCUAAUACCGCAUAACGUCGCAAGCCCAAAGAGGGGGACCUUAGGGCCUCUUGCCAUCGGAUGUGCCCAGAUGGGAUUAGCUAGUAGGUGGGGUAACGGCUCACCUAGGCGACGAUCCCUAGCUGGUCUGAGAGGAUGACCAGCCACACUGGAACUGAGACACGGUCCAGACUCCUACGGGAGGCAGCAGUGGGGAAUAUUGCACAAUGGGCGCAAGCCUGAUGCAGCCAUGCCGCGUGUAUGAAGAAGGCCUUCGGGUUGUAAAGUACUUUCAGCGGGGAGGAAGGGAGUAAAGUUAAUACCUUUGCUCAUUGACGUUACCCGCAGAAGAAGCACCGGCUAACUCCGUG